Molecule: ribosomal RNA, 492 nt
Filed under: uncultured bacterium
Lineage: Bacteria
Description: partial 16S ribosomal RNA
Rfam family: Bacterial small subunit ribosomal RNA
Source: RNAcentral
GACGAACGCUGGCUGCGUGCUUAACACAUGCAAGUCGAACGCUGAAACCCUGGUGCUUGCACCGGGGUGGAUGAGUGGCGAACGGGUGAGUAACACGUGAGUAACCUGCCCCCGACUUCGGGAUAAGCCCGGGAAACUGGGUCUAAUACCGGAUAUGAGCGCCCCUCGCAUGAGGGAUGCUGGAAAGUCUUUUCGGUUGGGGAUGGGCUCGCGGCCUAUCAGUUUGUUGGUGAGGUAAUGGCUCACCAAGACGACGACGUGUAGCCGGCCUGGGAGGGCGACCGGCCACACUGGGACUGAGACACGGCCCAGACUCCUACGGGAGGCAGCAGUGGGGAAUAUUGCACAAUGGGGGAAACCCUGAUGCAGCGACGCAGCGUGCGGGAUGACGGCCUUCGGGUUGUAAACCGCUUUCAGCAGGGAAGAAGCCCCUUGGGGUGACGGUACCUGCAGAAGAAGUACCGGCUAACUACGUGCCAGCAGCCGCCGCCG